This 405-nucleotide ribosomal RNA is filed under the name uncultured bacterium. RNAcentral's name for it is "bacterial SSU rRNA". It matches the Rfam family "Bacterial small subunit ribosomal RNA", at positions 29 to 418 of the family's 1533-position model. The record is from RNAcentral.
AACGAACGCUGGCGGCGUGCCUAACACAUGCAAGUCGUGCGAGAAAGUUCCUUCGGGAGCGAGUAAAGCGGCGCACGGGUGAGUAACACGUAGGUAACCUGCCCCCCAGUCUGGAACAACUAGAGGAAACUCUAGCUAAUGCCGGAUGAGACCACGAUCCCUUCGGGGGUUGCGGCCAAAGAUGGCCUCUACUUGUAAGCUAUCGCUGAGGGAUGGGCCUGCGGGCCAUUAGCUUGUUGGUGAGGUAACGGCUCACCAAGGCUGUGAUGGCUAGCUGGUCUGAGAGGAUGACAGCCACACUGGGACUGAGACACGGCCCAGACUCCUACGGGAGGCAGCAGUGGGGAAUAUUGCGCAAUGGGCGAAAGCCUGACGCAGCGACGCCGCGUGGGUGAUGAAGGCCUC